This 468-nucleotide ribosomal RNA is filed under the name uncultured bacterium. RNAcentral's name for it is "partial 16S ribosomal RNA". It matches the Rfam family "Bacterial small subunit ribosomal RNA", at positions 27 to 506 of the family's 1533-position model. The record is from RNAcentral.
GGACGAACGCUGGCGGCGUGCUUACCCCAUGCAAGUCGAACGGAAAGGCCCUGCUUUUGUGGGGUGCUCGAGUGGCGAACGGGUGAGUAACACGUGAGUAACCUGCCCUUGACUUUGGGAUAACUUCAGGAAACUGGGGCUAAUACCGGAUAGGAGCUCCUGCUGCAUGGUGGGGGUUGGAAAGUUUCGGCGGUUGGGGAUGGACUCGCGGCUUAUCAGCUUGUUGGUGGGGUAGUGGCUUACCAAGGCUUUGACGGGUAGCCGGCCUGAGAGGGUGACCGGCCACAUUGGGACUGAGAUACGGCCCAGACUCCUACGGGAGGCAGCAGUGGGGAAUAUUGCACAAUGGGCGGAAGCCUGAUGCAGCAACGCCGCGUGCGGGAUGACGGCCUUCGGGUUGUAAACCGCUUUCGCCUGUGACGAAGCGUGAGUGACGGUAAUGGGUAAAGAAGCACCGGCUAACUACGU